This 467-nucleotide ribosomal RNA is filed under the name uncultured bacterium. RNAcentral's name for it is "partial 16S ribosomal RNA". It matches the Rfam family "Bacterial small subunit ribosomal RNA", at positions 28 to 507 of the family's 1533-position model. The record is from RNAcentral.
GAUGAACGCUGACAGAAUGCUUAACACAUGCAAGUCAACUUGAAUUUGGGUUUUUAACUUAGGUUUGGGUGGCGGACGGGUGAGUAACGCGUAAAGAACUUGCCUCACAGCUAGGGACAACAUUUGGAAACGAAUGCUAAUACCUAAUAUUAUGAUAAUAGGGCAUCCUAUAAUUAUGAAAGCUAUAAGCGCUGUGAGAGAGCUUUGCGUCCCAUUAGCUAGUUGGAGAGGUAACGGCUCACCAAGGCGAUGAUGGGUAGCCGGCCUGAGAGGGUGAUCGGCCACAAGGGGACUGGGACACGGCCCUUACUCAUACGGGAGGCAGCAGUGGGGAAUAUUGGACAAUGGACCGAGAGUCUGAUCCAGCAAUUCUGUGUGCACGAUGAAGUUUUUCGGAAUGUAAAGUGCUUUCAGUUGGGAAGAAACAAAUGACGGUACCAACAGAAGAAGUGACGGCUAAAUACGUG